UGGAAGGGACCCCGAGGAUCAUCAAGUUCCAACCACCCUGCCAUAGGCAGAGGCACCAAGCUCCAAAUCUGGUUCUAGACCAGGUUGCCAAGGGCCCCAUCCAAUUAUUAUAUCCAAUUAUUGCAUCCAAUUAUAUUAUAUAUAUAUAUUUAUUUAUGUAUAUAUUUGUAUUAUAUUCCUUAACUCUUACAAGAUACUCCAAGAAGCUCUGGCACAUAGCUUCUGCUGAUUUGCUGCAUUGCAAAGGUGCAGCUGGGCUUGAUGAAGGUGAUACAACCAUGCCUAGAGGAGAGCUGAUAGGAGUACCAGGUGACAAGGGUGUUGGGAGUCUGGAGGAGUGCCAUCAGCCUCUAAUGAGAUACAGAAUUCUUGAAUAGUUGCCAUACAAUUGCAUUAACAAAUUUCCCCUGCUGAAAUUUCAAGCCCUUCCAAACAGGCAUGCCUCAAAGGAAAACUGGGAUGGAGAACAGUCUGCAAGACAUCCUGAGCUCCAAAGAGUUUCAGUCUAAUCUAGUUCAGAUUUAAUUUAGUUCUAAUUGCCCUGAAUACUAAACUUACCUUAGAAGGCUAGAAAGUACUUUAUUUUUCUUGUCACUUUUAGCUUUCCAACACUGCAUUUCUCUACUUCUUUUUAAUCAAAUAAAUCUCACAUAUGCUAUGCAUAGUAUAUGUAUCUGUAUUCUUUGCUCUUUUGUUGAAUUUGUUUGGAGUCUGUCAUCUUCUAUUUUAUGCCAAAGAUAGGGCACAGUGUUUGUCAUUGCACUCACACUGAAAAGGUGAUAUUGAAAUGUGUGCAGAAUAAUGCUGGAUCAUGCCUGCUAUUUGGGAAGAAAUGUACAGUAUCUCUUCUGCCCAUGCUGAUGUGCUGUUUCUGCCCCUUAUCGUUUUUAACAACUUCUCAGGUUUUGCCUGAAAACAUUUAUGAGUUUUGCUUGAGAAAAACAUUUCAAAUAUCUCUUUGUUGUGCCUUACACAUGAAUCUGUUGAAACAGAAUCAUAGGGUGCCGAUGUUUUAGUUUGUAUAGCAGUUGCUUCUUACUGGUGUGGCAGAAAAAAAUCAGCUUAAUUUCUGGAACAAUAGGAACAUGUUUUAAAUGGUUUUAUCUUGUUAUA
Tympanuchus pallidicinctus (lesser prairie-chicken) is the source of this 1113-nucleotide long non-coding RNA. RefSeq lists it as uncharacterized. The transcript is spliced from 3 exons. The record is from RefSeq and is a predicted model, not a curated record. NCBI's taxonomy places the organism in Eukaryota, Metazoa, Chordata, Aves, Galliformes, Phasianidae.